UACGUAGGGGGCAAGCGUUGUCCGGAAUCAUUGGGCGUAAAGAGCGUGUAGGCGGCUCGAUAAGUCUGCUGUGAAAGUCCAGGGCUCAACCCUGGAAGGCCGGUGGAAACUGUCGGGCUAGAGUCCGGAAGAGGCGAGUGGAAUUCCCGGUGUAGCGGUGAAAUGCGCAGAUAUCGGGAGGAACACCAGUGGCGAAGGCGGCUAACUGGUCCGGUUCUGACGCUGAGGCGCGAAAGCGUGGGGAGCAAACAGG
Molecule: ribosomal RNA, 253 nt
Filed under: uncultured bacterium
Lineage: Bacteria
Description: partial 16S ribosomal RNA
Rfam family: Bacterial small subunit ribosomal RNA
Source: RNAcentral